GACGAACGCUGGCGGCGUGCUUAACACAUGCAAGUCGAACGGAAAGGCCCUGCUUUUGUGGGGUGCUCGAGUGGCGAACGGGUGAGUAACACGUGAGUAACCUGCCCUUGACUUUGGGAUAACUUCAGGAAACUGGGGCUAAUACCGGAUAGGAGCUCCUGCUGCAUGGUGGGGGUUGGAAAGUUUCGGCGGUUGGGGAUGGACUCGCGGCUUAUCCGCUUGUUGGUGGGGUAGUGGCUUACCAAGGCUUUGACGGGUAGCCGGCCUGAGAGGGUUAACGGGGACAAUAGGACUGAGGGAGGGCCCAGACGCGUACGGGAGGCAGCAGGGGGAAGUAUUGCACAAUGGGGGGAAGCCUGAGGCAGCAGCGCCGCGUGCGGGAUGACGGCCUUCGGGUUGUAAACCGCUUUCUCCUGUGACGAAGCGUGAGUGACGGUAAUGGGUAAAGAAGCACCGGCUAACUACGUG
Molecule: ribosomal RNA, 468 nt
Filed under: uncultured bacterium
Lineage: Bacteria
Description: partial 16S ribosomal RNA
Rfam family: Bacterial small subunit ribosomal RNA
Source: RNAcentral